UGAUACCUCAGGACUUGAUGAUUCUAAUGUCCAGUCACCAAGGAAAAUGAUAUGAGCAGGUAUAUUACUGAGGAUAAAAGCUUUCAUGCAGAGAAAAAGAAAAGCGUAAGGGAGAAUGAAACAAGCAGACAUUCUAAAGUUUUCCUGGAAGCCUACAAGUAUUAUCACAUAUUGUCUACCAGAGGAGGACUUCUGAUGUUUGUUCGAAGAUUAAGCUUUCCUCUUCUCAUCUAGAAGAAAACAAAAGACUAUAGUGACAGCUUCAGAGCAUGAGGUUGGAAAAAUAGGAAUUAGACUUUUAAAUGCAAAGAUCUUAUGAUUUCUCAGAUGCAAAAUCAUAAAAGAGGCAUCAUAUACAACUACCUAGAGGCAUCAUGACUCUUCAUUACCAAAAGGUAAGUGCUUAAGGUGUUCAUAUGUCCCAUUUUUCAUAGCGAUCACAUCCCUUCUUCCUCAG
RNAcentral lists this long non-coding RNA (457 nucleotides) under Phascolarctos cinereus (koala). RNAcentral describes it as "lncRNA (ENSPCIG00000036157.1)". The record is from RNAcentral. Lineage: Eukaryota; Metazoa; Chordata; Mammalia; Diprotodontia; Phascolarctidae.